GACGAACGCUGGCGGCGUGCCUAAUACAUGCAAGUCGAGCGAAGAUUUUCUGGUGCUUGCACCGGAAAAACUUAGCGGCGAACGGGUGAGUAACACGUAAAGAACCUGCCUCAUAGACUGGGACAACUAUUGGAAACGAUAGCUAAUACCGGAUAAUAGCAUUAACUGCAUGGUUGAUGUGUAAAAGUUGGUUUUGCUAACACUAUGAGAUGGCUUUGCGGUGCAUUAGCUAGUUGGUGGGGUAAAGGCCUACCAAGGCGACGAUGCAUAGCCGACCUGAGAGGGUGAUCGGCCACACUGGGACUGAGACACGGCCCAGACUCCUACGGGAGGCAGCAGUAGGGAAUCUUCCGCAAUGGGCGAAAGCCUGACGGAGCAACGCCGCGUGAGUGAAGAAGGAUUUCGGUUCGUAAAGCUCUGUUGUUAGGGAAGAAUGAUUGUGUAGUAACUAUACACAGUAGAGACGGUACCUAACCAGAAAGCCACGGCUAACUACGUG
RNAcentral lists this ribosomal RNA (499 nucleotides) under uncultured bacterium. RNAcentral describes it as "partial 16S ribosomal RNA". It matches the Rfam family "Bacterial small subunit ribosomal RNA", at positions 28 to 507 of the family's 1533-position model. The record is from RNAcentral.